Molecule: long non-coding RNA, 480 nt
Filed under: Brassica napus (rape)
Lineage: Eukaryota; Viridiplantae; Streptophyta; Magnoliopsida; Brassicales; Brassicaceae
Description: long non-coding RNA (BNAP_LNC014207)
Source: RNAcentral
CAUGGAACGCUCAAACGGAUACAUCCAUCCGUUGUGAAUAGGUCCACGACGCAAUGCUUCAUACGGGAGGUGGACAACUAGAUGCUCCAUGACGUCAAAAAGUGAUGGUGGAAAUAUCUUCUCCAGAUUGCACAAUAUGAUUGGAAUGUUCUCAUGAUGUUGUUCGAUAACUUCUUCCUUGAACAUACGUGUGCUAAGAUCUCUGAAGAAUGAUCUGAUGGCUGUAUAUUGCAAAAGUAACCCAAUUAAUAACAUUUCAUAGCAUAUGUACAUAUAUUAUAAAUAAAUAUUUACCUGCAAUUGCUUCAUGUAUAUUUGUUGGAAGGAGCUCGGCAAAAGCAAAUGGAAGUAGUCGUUGCAUAAACACAUGACAAUCAUGACUCUUCAUUCCUGGGAACUUUUGACCUCGUUCAACACAUCUUGACAUAUUAGAAACAUAACCAUCAGGGAACUUAACUUCUGAUGCAACCCAGUCAAACA